This 460-nucleotide ribosomal RNA is filed under the name uncultured bacterium. RNAcentral describes it as "partial 16S ribosomal RNA". It matches the Rfam family "Bacterial small subunit ribosomal RNA", at positions 338 to 795 of the family's 1533-position model. The record is from RNAcentral.
CCUACGGGGGGCAGCAGUGAGGAAUAUUGGUCAAUGGCCGUAAGGCUGAACCAGCCAAGUAGCGUGAGGGAAGACUGCCCUAUGGGUUGUAAACCUCUUUUAUUCGGGGAUAAAGGUGUCCACGUGUGGCUGUUUGCAGGUACCGCAUGAAUAAGGACUGGCUAAUUCCGGUCCAGCAGCCGCGGUAAUACGGAAGGUCCGGGCGUUAUUCGGAUUUAUUGGGUUUAAAGGGAGCGUAGGCCGGUCUUUAAGCGUGCCGGGAAAUUUUGUGGCUCAACCAUGGGAGUGCGGCGCGAACUGGAGACCUUGAGUGAGCGGAAGGCAGGCGGAAUGCGUGGUGUAGCGGUGAAAUGCUUAGAUAUCACGAAGAACCCCGAUUGCGAAGGCAGCCUGCCGCAGCGUUACUGACGCUGAAGCUCGAAAGCGCGGGUAUCGAACAGGAUUAGAUACCCCGGUAGUC